RNAcentral lists this ribosomal RNA (230 nucleotides) under uncultured bacterium. RNAcentral describes it as "partial 16S ribosomal RNA". It matches the Rfam family "Bacterial small subunit ribosomal RNA", at positions 561 to 791 of the family's 1533-position model. The record is from RNAcentral.
UAAAGCGUGCGCAGGCGGUUUGUAAGACUGUCGUGAAAUCCCCGGGCUCAACCUGGGAAUGGCGAUGGUGACUGCAAGGCUAGAGUUUGGCAGAGGGGGGUAGAAUUCCACGUGUAGCAGUGAAAUGCGUAGAUAUGUGGAGGAACACCGAUGGCGAAGGCAGCCCCCUGGGUCAAAACUGACGCUCAUGCACGAAAGCGUGGGGAGCAAACAGGAUUAGAUACCCUGGU